RNAcentral lists this ribosomal RNA (440 nucleotides) under uncultured bacterium. Its description in RNAcentral is "partial 16S ribosomal RNA". It matches the Rfam family "Bacterial small subunit ribosomal RNA", at positions 338 to 795 of the family's 1533-position model. The record is from RNAcentral.
CCUACGGGUGGCAGCAGUGGGGGAUAUUGCACAAUGGGGGAAAGCCUGAUGCAGCGACGUCGCGUGGGUGAAGAAGGGCCUCGGCGCGGAAAGCCCUGUCAGCAGGGAAGAAAAUGACGGUACCUGAAGCAGAAGCCACGGUUAACUACGUAACAGCAGCCGCGGUAAUACGUAGGGGGCAAGCGUUAUCCGGAUUUACUGGGUUUAAAGGGGGCGGAGGUGGGGAUGCAAGCCAGGAGGGAAAGCCCGGGGCCCAACCCCGGGAUUGCUGUUGGAACUGCGUGGCUUGAGUGCAGGAGGGGUAGGCGGAAUUCCUGGUGUAGCGGUGAAAUGCGUAGAUAUCAGGAAGAACACCGGUGGCGAAGGCAGCCUGCUGGACUGCAACUGACGUUGAGGCCCGAAAGCGUGGGGAGCAAACAGGAUUAGAUACCCGUGUAGUC